AUGAGAAAUGAUGGGAACUUCCAAGGCCUUGGAAAUCUUGUUGAUCUCUCGGUUAAGCUUGUUCAAACAGGGAGACACAUAGUUCAUCAUUUGGUGUACUUGCUUUUAAAAUUGGUAUUGAUUCUACCGGUGGCAACGGCAAAUGUUGAGAGAGCAUUUUCUGCCAUGAGUAUAGUCAAGAGCAAGUUGAGAAAUAAGAUGGGUGAUAGUCUUUUGGAUGAUUGGCUAGUUACAUACAUUGAGAGGGAUGCUUUCUCCGAGGUGAAUGAAGAUGACAUAAUUGAUACCUUCAUGGCAAUGCAAAAGCGUAGGCCAGAAACAUAG
This 324-nucleotide ribosomal RNA is filed under the name Triticum aestivum (bread wheat). RNAcentral's name for it is "partial small subunit ribosomal RNA". The record is from RNAcentral. Lineage: Eukaryota; Viridiplantae; Streptophyta; Magnoliopsida; Poales; Poaceae.